RNAcentral lists this ribosomal RNA (372 nucleotides) under uncultured organism. Its description in RNAcentral is "partial 16S ribosomal RNA". It matches the Rfam family "Bacterial small subunit ribosomal RNA", at positions 527 to 896 of the family's 1533-position model. The record is from RNAcentral.
GUAGGUGGCAAGCGUUGUCCGGAAUUAUUGGGCGUAAAGCGCGCGCAGGCAGUCCUUUAAGUCUGAUGUGAAAGCCCACGGCUCAACCGUGGAGGGUCAUUGGAAACUGGGGGACUUGAGUACAGAAGAGGAAAGCGGAAUUCCAAGUGUAGCGGUAAAAUGCGUAGAGAUUUGGAGGAACACCAGUGGCGAAGGCGGCUUUCUGGUCUGUAACUGACGCUGAGGCGCGAAAGCGUGGGGAGCAAACAGGAUUAGAUACCCUGGUAGUCCACGCCGUAAACGAUGAGUGCUAAGUGUUAGGGGGUUUCCGCCCCUUAGUGCUGCAGCUAACGCAUUAAGCACUCCGCCUGGGGAGUACGGCCGCAAAGGCUG